GUAUCCUACGGGAGGCAGCAGUGGGGAAUAUUGCACAAUGGGGGGAACCCUGAUGCAGCGACGCCGCGUGGGUGAAGAAGUCAUUCGUGACGUAAAGCCCUAUCAGCAGGGAAGAAAAUGACGGUACCUGACUAAGAAGCCCCGGCUAACUCCGUGCCAGCAGCCGCGGUAAUACGGAGGGUGCGAGCGUUAUCCGGAUUUACUGGGUGUAAAGGGAGCGUAGGCGGCGCGUUAAGUCUGAUGUGAAAACCCGAGGCUCAACCACGGGAGUGCAUUGGAAACUGGCGGGCUGGAGUGCCGGAGAG
This 305-nucleotide ribosomal RNA is filed under the name uncultured bacterium. RNAcentral describes it as "bacterial SSU rRNA". It matches the Rfam family "Bacterial small subunit ribosomal RNA", at positions 334 to 656 of the family's 1533-position model. The record is from RNAcentral.